AGCUAACGCGUGAAACACUCCGCCUGGGGAGUACGGUCGCAAGACCGAAACUCAAAGGAAUUGACGGGGGCCUGCACAAGCGGUGGAGCAUGUGGAUUAAUUCGAUGCAACGCGAAAAACCUUACCUACCCUUGACAUGGUCGGAAUCCCGCUGAGAGGUGGGAGUGCUCGAAAGAGAACCGGCGCACAGGUGCUGCAUGGCUGUCGUCAGCUCGUGUCGUGAGAUGUUGGGUUAAGUCCCGCAACGAGCGCAACCCUUGUCCUUAGUUGCUACGCAAGAGCACUCUAAGGAGACUGCCGGUGACAAACCGGAGGAAGGUGGGGAUGACGUCAAGUCCUCAUGGCCCUUAUGGGUAGGGCUUCACACGUCAUACAAUGGUCGGAACAGAGGGUUGCCAACCCGCGAGGGGGAGCUAAUCCCAGAAAACCGAUCGUAGUCCGGAUUGCACUCUGCAACUCGGGAACAUGAAGUAGAAAUCGCUAGUAAUCGCGGAUCAGCAUGCCGCGGUGAAUAUGUACCCGGGCCCUGUACACACCGCCCGUCACACCCUGGGAAUUGGUUU
This 563-nucleotide ribosomal RNA is filed under the name uncultured bacterium. Its description in RNAcentral is "bacterial SSU rRNA". It matches the Rfam family "Bacterial small subunit ribosomal RNA", at positions 850 to 1417 of the family's 1533-position model. The record is from RNAcentral.